Molecule: ribozyme, 76 nt
Filed under: Crocodylus porosus (Australian saltwater crocodile)
Lineage: Eukaryota; Metazoa; Chordata; Crocodylia; Crocodylidae
Description: Mammalian CPEB3 ribozyme (ENSCPRG00005016081.1)
Rfam family: Mammalian CPEB3 ribozyme
About the family: The mammalian CPEB3 ribozyme is a self cleaving RNA located in the second intron of the CPEB3 gene which belongs to a family of genes regulating messenger RNA polyadenylation.
Source: Rfam by way of RNAcentral
UUUGCAAGUUUGAGGCCAUAGCAGAAGUGUUCACAGUAUGACCCUGUCAGAUUCCAGUGAAUCUGCAAAUUUUGCU